GACGAACGCUGGCGGCGUGCUUAACACAUGCAAGUCGAACGGAAAGGCCCUGCUUUUGUGGGGUGCUCGAGUGGCGAACGGGUGAGUAACACGUGAGUAACCUGCCCUUUACUUUGGGAUAACUUCAGGAAACUGGGGCUAAUACCGGAUAGGAGCUCCUGCUGCAUGGUGGGGGUUGGAAAUUUUCGGCGGUUGGGGAUGGACUCGCGGCUUAUCAGCUUGUUGGUGGGGUAGUGGCUUACCAAGGCUUUGACGGGUAGCCGGCCUGAGAGGGUGACCGGCCACAUUGGGACUGAGAGACGGACCAGACUCCUACGGGAGGCAGCAGUGGGGAAUAUUGCACAGUGGGCGGAAGCCUGAUGCAGCAACGCCGCGUGCGGGAUGAAGGCCUUCGGGUUGUAAACCGCUUUCGCCUGUGACGAAGCGUGAGUGACGGUAAUGGGUAAAGAAGCACCGGCUAACUACGUG
This 468-nucleotide ribosomal RNA is filed under the name uncultured bacterium. Its description in RNAcentral is "partial 16S ribosomal RNA". It matches the Rfam family "Bacterial small subunit ribosomal RNA", at positions 28 to 507 of the family's 1533-position model. The record is from RNAcentral.